AUUGAACGCUGGCGGCAGGCCUAACACAUGCAAGUCGAACGGUAGCACAGAGAGCUUGCUCUCGGGUGACGAGUGGCGGACGGGUGAGUAAUGUCUGGGAAACUGCCCGAUGGAGGGGGAUAACUACUGGAAACGGUAGCUAAUACCGCAUAACGUCGCAAGACCAAAGAGGGGGACCUUCGGGCCUCUUGCCAUCGGAUGUGCCCAGAUGGGAUUAGCUUGUAGGUGAGGUAACGGCUCACCUAGGCGACGAUCCCUAGCUGGUCUGAGAGGAUGACCAGCCACACUGGAACUGAGACACGGUCCAGACUCCUACGGGAGGCAGCAGUGGGGAAUAUUGCACAAUGGGCGCAAGCCUGAUGCAGCCAUGCCGCGUGUAUGAAGAAGGCCUUCGGGUUGUAAAGUACUUUCAGCGGGGAGGAAGGGAGUGAGGUUAAUAACCUCAUUCAUUGACGUUACCCGCAGAAGAAGCACCGGCUAACUCCGUGCCAGCAGCCGCGGUAAUACGGAGGGUGCGAGCGUUAAUCGGAAUUACUGGGCGUAAAGCGCACGCAGGCGGUCUGUCAAGUCGGAUGUGAAAUCCCCGGGCUCAACCUGGGAACUGCAUUCGAAACUGGCAGGCUGGAGUCUUGUAGAGGGGGGUAGAAUUCCAGGUGUAGCGGUGAAAUGCGUAGAGAUCUGGAGGAAUACCGGUGGCGAAGGCGGCCCCCUGGACAAAGACUGACGCUCAGGUGCGAAAGCGUGGGGAGCAAACAGGAUUAGAUACCCUGGUAGUCCACGCUGUAAACGAUGUCGACUUGGAGGUUGUUCCCUUGAGGAGUGGCUUCCGGAGCUAACGCGUUAAGUCGACCGCCUGGGGAGUACGGCCGCAAGGUUAAAACUCAAAUGAAUUGACGGGGGCCCGCACAAGCGGUGGAGCAUGUGGUUUAAUUCGAUGCAACGCGAAGAACCUUACCUACUCUUGACAUCCAGAGAACUUAGCAGAGAUGCUUUGGUGCCUUCGGGAACUCUGAGACAGGUGCUGCAUGGCUGUCGUCAGCUCGUGUUGUGAAAUGUUGGGUUAAGUCCCGCAACGAGCGCAACCCUUAUCCUUUGUUGCCAGCGGUCCGGCCGGGAACUCAAAGGAGACUGCCAGUGAUAAACUGGAGGAAGGUGGGGAUGACGUCAAGUCAUCAUGGCCCUUACGAGUAGGGCUACACACGUGCUACAAUGGCAUAUACAAAGAGAAGCGACCUCGCGAGAGCAAGCGGACCUCAUAAAGUAUGUCGUAGUCCGGAUUGGAGUCUGCAACUCGACUCCAUGAAGUCGGAAUCGCUAGUAAUCGUGGAUCAGAAUGCCACGGUGAAUACGUUCCCGGGCCU
RNAcentral lists this ribosomal RNA (1361 nucleotides) under uncultured bacterium. Its description in RNAcentral is "bacterial SSU rRNA". It matches the Rfam family "Bacterial small subunit ribosomal RNA", at positions 28 to 1381 of the family's 1533-position model. The record is from RNAcentral.